This 220-nucleotide ribosomal RNA is filed under the name uncultured bacterium. RNAcentral describes it as "partial 16S ribosomal RNA". It matches the Rfam family "Bacterial small subunit ribosomal RNA", at positions 524 to 742 of the family's 1533-position model. The record is from RNAcentral.
UACGUAGGGGGCUAGCGUUGUCCGGAAUCAUUGGGCGUAAAGCGCGCGUAGGCGGCCAGAUAAGUCCGGUGUGAAAGCCACAGGCUCAACCUGUGAAUGCCGCUGGAAACUGUCUGGCUAGAGUCCGGAAGGGCGAGUGGAAUUCCUAGUGUAGAGGUGAAAUUCGUAGAUAUUAGGAAGAACACCAGUGGCGAAGGCGGCUACAACGUGGGCCCGGUAG